Molecule: long non-coding RNA, 877 nt
Organism: Homo sapiens (human)
Lineage: Eukaryota; Metazoa; Chordata; Mammalia; Primates; Hominidae
Product: long intergenic non-protein coding RNA 293
Source: Ensembl
ACUGUAUCACUGGCUGAGCACCCAGGUGGUAUUGCUCCAUAUGCCUGAGACCCUAACAAAAGCCUAAUUACAACUCAUAUGCCUGGAGCCAGGACAUGUGCAGGAUGGUGAUGUAACUUUCCUCUCUGGAAUGGGUCCUGCACAAAGGAAUGAUAGUAACAUAUUGCAAAGCCAGACACACAGGGAAAUUUUGACCUAUUGCACCCAGAUGAUGUUACUCUUCUGAUAGAGUCCUGAAAAAAGAGGGAAUUAUUGCAUACUGGUGGGCCCAGCUGCUGAUGAUGCUACAGUCCUUCCUGUGCCAGAGCCACAGACAGUAUUUUGACAUAAUUUCGGCCCAUUUGCCAUGAUGGUCCAAGUUAUAUUGGGAUUCAGCCAAUAGAAGAUAUUUUGCCUGUCAUCCCUAAGCUUAGGACAAUAGACUCUGCCAAGAGAGGGGAUUAUUACAUAUUGCAGAGCCCAGCACCUAGGUGGAGUGACUCUCAUCUUUUUCUUCUACCCCGUAUAUAGCCAGCUUGGUGACCUACUAUUUGAGUCUAUACCCAGGCCCAGACCACAGAUGAAAUUGUGCAAUAUGUGGAACAAACACCUAAACAAUAUAUAACACCUUCCUUGGCUCUGUCUACAAAGGGCACUUUUAUAUAUCACUGGGACCAUCAACCAGGUGAUGUUAAUUAUCUUCCUGAAACCUGUCUACAAAGAGAGUUGUGUCGUAUACCUAGGCCCGUCAUGUAAGUGAUGUCAGUCCCUUCUACUGCCUUGGCCCUGCACUUACAGUGCAUUGUGACACAUAACAAGGUACUGCACACAGACGAUGUGAUUCUCCUUUUUGGGUUCUGCCAAAAGGAAGCAUUGUAAUAAAUCGCUUGGCUCAGUA